GGUGGCGGCAGUCCACCUAUAAGCUGCUUGAAGUCCUCCCCGCCACAAGGAGGCAAUGAAGGCGAACAGGUCGGAUGUAAUGGCGCAAGCCGGUCCCGCAGUUUGACUAUAACAGGCACAAUCAAGGUCGUUGCAACAGAGCUGAGGAGACUGCCGCCAUGCUGACCAAUAGCAAUGAGGGUGCAGGGUCACAUGAUCAACCAGCAACAGACUGUGCUGCUCUUGGAGAUGGUGUUUGCCCUCCUGAACAGCAGGAGGCUGUAGAACGUCACGAUGCCAACACAACUUCCCAGCUCAAGAGCGCGUGUUCCCUGGAGGUGACCAUCCAGCAGUACGGCGACAGUCGCGAGUUCAAGAUGGCCGGGGAGAAGCGGGCGGCACCAGGGUCGGGGCUUCAUUGCCACAUGUGCGGAGUCACAUGUCACUCCAUGGAGAUGUUUGUCGAACACAUGGGCGGCUCAGAUCACAUGGCCAAAUGGAAGGAGAUCACACACUCCGUCAGCAUCAUCACACACACAAUCACAAACAGCAGAAGGCGCCGCUGGUGUGACACGUGUCAGAGUCACUUUAGCGAUGAUGUCAUCAGCCAUCGUCGAACUAAACAACACAAAGAGCGCAAGCGUGCGUCGCGGCCGUUCUGCGCGGCGUGCCGCCGUCACUUGAAGACUCCCCGGAAAUUUGUGGAGCACAUGAAGUCCGACAAGCACAAGCGAGAGGUCAGAGGUCGUCCGUCUGUCUGUCUGUCCGGUCGCCUGCGUGACGCCCGCGCGACCAGUGAGUGUGCGCCUAUUUUGGCAGGUAUGCGUGAAGAAGGCUCAGGAGGAGGAGCUCAUCACCGUGGAUGCCAUUGGCUGCUUUGAGGAGGAGGCGGAGCCAAAGCAAGAAGUGGAAUUAGGACCGGAGGAAGAGAAGGCAGCCGCUUGACAGGCGUCCCUGUGCGCACGAGUGACGUGUGAGUGACGGGCGGACUCCUCCCGUCCAGGACGCCCCGCGUGGCCGAUCAAGCGCCCCUUCCCUGGCUAACCUGCAAUUAGCAGCAAUUAGCGCACGGCGCUACCAUGACGACAAUCAGCAAGUGGAAGAGGAAGACUUCCUGUUUGCCGUCAUCACUUCCGGUGUGAGCAACAAGUCACUUAUCCUGCGGCAGCCUGCUGCUCCAAAGCAUACCACAUCAUGCGCAUAGGUACAUGAAGAGCAAAUGUGUUAUUGCCGAUUAGCUGGUCGCACGCACGCAGGGCUGGUGGACGGCCGGCCCGGUGGGCGGUUGCAGCUAAUGCAGCAAGUAGGGUGUGUGUGUGUCAAUCACGGUGGGGCGGCGAAGUACUGCUGAGCUCAAUUGCCCUCGCUCGCCUGCCUGUCUGUCAAACGUGUCUUGUUUGUAUUUUUUAAGUAGCAGACAUGAGCUUAGUGCGCUCAUGAGCCGCCGCAGACCUGUACGUACGUUACGAAUUCUCCGUAUUUUGUGAGGGAAAUCACUGAAUGCUAACUCGUUAAGGCCGUCGUACUGAUUGUUACGGACUUUUUCAAAAAUCACAGGUUAUAUAAUUGCACAAAAGGGUUGAAAAGGAGAAAAAGAAUUAGUUCAUCCAUAAAUGCCAUUUGUGUUUGACGACAAGCCAAUGGCAGACGCGGCGUCGUUCCGCUGGUCGCCUCCAGUGACGUGGAGCUCUUUGCCGCGGAAGCUAGCAGACGACGUUAGCCGAAAGCUAACAAUUUGAGGCUAACCUGUUUCGCUGCGACCCUUAGUGAAUUCAUAUCAGCGGCGAGCAACGAGGGCAGCGACACGAUGUAGAGCUUCGUCGCCAGAUUAUUGUUCACUACUGCUCAGAAAACUAGUGUGUGUGUGUUUGUGUGCGCGUGCGCGCGCGCUACACUAGGGGGUUCAAAAGUAGGUACAGUAUACUGUAGUAUCUUUUUUUUAAUCCUUUUUGGGAUGGUUGAAUUUUUAAAAAAUGUUUUCUUUUUUUCGACAAUCAUAAAAAAAAAAGACAAAAUAUACUGCAGUAUUCCUAAUUUUGCACCCAGUAAUACACUGUACUUGUACUGUAUAUUGAUAUAUGUAUACUGUGUAUGUAUGUAUACAUGCAUAUGAAGAUGUUCACGAUGUUUUUGUGAAAAGAAAACAUUUAUUUUGAAUUCGUAUGAGACGCUCGGUCGUUUACGAUGUCCUCGUCAGAGUUUAUGUGUUUGAAGUCAUUAAAAAAUAGAAUCUAGUUUGCAUUCAAAUCAAAUCUUUUCACCCGCCCCAUUAUCAUUCAUUUAGAGACUUGAGUUCUUUGUUUUUGAUUUCUUUGGCCGGCCGUGAAGAACUUUUUUUCAAUCCGAGCCUGCAAAUUGACUUCAUUAAACGGCGUGCUAAUGAA
This is an RNA transcript of Hippocampus comes (tiger tail seahorse), 2363 nucleotides long. It is a transcript of the gene named cdkn1a interacting zinc finger protein 1b, with no coding region annotated. Lineage: Eukaryota; Metazoa; Chordata; Actinopteri; Syngnathiformes; Syngnathidae. The record is from RefSeq and is a predicted model, not a curated record. The transcript is spliced from 8 exons.